This 64-nucleotide transfer RNA is filed under the name Pararetifusus carinatus. Its description in RNAcentral is "tRNA-Thr". The record is from RNAcentral. Lineage: Eukaryota; Metazoa; Mollusca; Gastropoda; Neogastropoda; Fasciolariidae.
CAAUAAAAGAAAUUAUACUCACCUUUGGUUUACAAAACCAAUGCUCUUUAUAAGCUAUUAUUGC